Molecule: long non-coding RNA, 517 nt
Filed under: Homo sapiens (human)
Lineage: Eukaryota; Metazoa; Chordata; Mammalia; Primates; Hominidae
Description: novel transcript, antisense ZNF519
Source: RNAcentral
AAAGGUUAAUUUGAAUUUAAUUACAUCAAUAAUACUUUCUCAAUCAUGAAUACUGUGAUUACAAAAAUAAGUGAACAUUGAAUAUAAUUAUGCCUCUCCAUCAAUGUCGUCCCUCUUUUUAAACAUACAAUUUAAUUAUCUAAUUGAGUUUGAAUUAUUUGUUAUAAUAAACACACUGAUUCAGAGUAAUUUACGGAAGUGCUAGCACCUUAGUUCUUUCUAAAGUGACACUUCUAAUUUUUAUUUAAUCUUCAUUUUGAUGUUUCAAAAAUCAUUACACAUAUGGGAUUUCUAUCCAGUAUUGAUUUUCUAAUGUUGAGUAAGGUGUGAGCUCCUGGUAAAAGCUUUGCCACAUUCUUUACAUUUGAAGAAUUUCUCUCCAGUAUGGACUCUCUGAUGUUGAGUAAGGUGUGAGCCCCAGAUAAAAGCUUUGCCACAUUCUUCACAUUUGAAAGACUUCUCUCCAGUAUGGAUUCUUUGAUGUCGAGUAAGGUGUGAGCCCCUGUUAAAGGCUUUG